GAAUAGGUCGGUCGGGAACCGGAACCACAGGCAUUUUUUUAGGCCCUACCUUACAACCUAGAGGAUCACAAAACACAUACAGAAUUUCAUGUUUGUGGCAAUCACUGCACAAUACCAAAAAGUCACAAUAUCACAUAAAAACACUAAAGAGUAUAAAAGAGCAAGCUUACACAAAAGAAACUUUCACUGUUGAUAUGGAAGUCGAUUUUCACUAUGUUAUUAUGAUCAACAAGACAACAAUAGGACAUAAAAGAACCAUAAACCACAAUGUUACUGAGUGAGCACAUUAAUUUAAGUUUAUUUGAUGUGCGGUAAGCGGACCAUACUUGUGUGCCAAAAUUAUACCGUGUUUCUUACGGCAUGAGCGGUCGUGUUGUUGUAUAUUCCAGCGGUUGUAUAUUUGAUACAACAUAGAGGUAAAUGUCAUAUAUAGCUUGUAAAAUUUGUUCAAAAAUAGGUGAUUUUAAGCGAAGAAAAUACUGAACCAUUAUUUUUAAUUGUUUAUUUUUUACUUGAAGAAGAGAAUAUUAAUUUCUGUAAACUUAUUAUGCAGUGUGACGCCACCAGUAUGAUAUUUGCAUUCAACACGAAGUGAAAUAUCUAAAAAGGAAGCAAGUUUUCAAAUUCCUAUAUAUACGGG
Non-coding RNA from Paramuricea clavata, 640 nucleotides. The record is from the annotation of a GenBank genome assembly. NCBI's taxonomy places the organism in Eukaryota, Metazoa, Cnidaria, Anthozoa, Malacalcyonacea, Plexauridae.